Tympanuchus pallidicinctus (lesser prairie-chicken) is the source of this 1424-nucleotide long non-coding RNA. RefSeq lists it as uncharacterized. NCBI's taxonomy places the organism in Eukaryota, Metazoa, Chordata, Aves, Galliformes, Phasianidae. The transcript is spliced from 5 exons. The record is from RefSeq and is a predicted model, not a curated record.
CUGUUUCUGAAUAUUCUUUCCUGCUGGAGCUUUCCUUUGUGAGCCUUGAAUCUUCUGAUAUGGUGAAAGCAAAGACUCAGCAGUAGGAUGAUUUGAAGCAGUCACUCCCAUUCCUGAAGGAAUUACUGGGACCUUUGACAUGACUGGAAAUGGAAGGAAUAUCAACAGCCUUUGACAUGGAAUCUAUUAAAUCUCAGCUGGUUGCAUCUGAACAUACAGAUCUUCCAGCCUUUACUGCUGAGCAAAUCCUUCAUUUGACAUUUGAGCUUUAAGUAUUGAAACCCAGGAGCAAUUCUGGUAUGAGGUAUGUUGGACUGAUAAUCCUUAUCUUAUAACAACAUCAUUCUGUGAGCAUCAAUUCUCCAUUUUUAAUUCAGUAGCAAUUUGAAGGAGCCAAGGGACUGAAAAAAUGAGGAAAGCUUAAUGCAUGAAUGUAAAAUCUUUUCCCUUGUCUGGAUCAUAUAAAAUGAAGACAAAAUGCCCUGGGCCACAUUCAGGUUGCACUGAAAGUGAUGUCUCCUAUGUAUUUCCAUGGGAACUACAACAGAUACGAAGAGCACAAUAAUGCUUUUAGAUAGAACAAAUUCUCACUGAUGACUAUCAAUGAAUGCCGUUUUUUCUGCAUGGAGGAAUUCAGUGACACAUCUUUGCUUCAUAUUUGCUUCCAUAGCAGAUGCAAUCCUGCCAGACUGCCCCUCUGCUGCAAUCUGUGGCACAGCAACAAAAUGUAAUGGAAUAUUGGUGGGAAGGUUCAUCCUCUACUACCAUAUCACAACAACUGUCUCUGAUGCUUUGAACCAAUAUAAUAAAACAGGAGGCAUUACUUUUGGUGCAGCCCUUGUAAACGAUAUAGUAUAGUUUACGUAUAUAAAUAACAAAACAUUGUAACUUUUAAUAUUUUUUUAUUAAAACAAAAAGGAGGGCAUAAAAAUGUAAAACUAGUGAGAUAUUUGACCUUGUUUUUGUGAAACCAAUGCAUCAGUCUGGUUCAAUGGCAGUGGCUGCAAUUCUUAGCCAGUUCUCAAGAUGUUCAUCAGAGAUUUUUGGUGAAAUUCUUUUCUCUCUCUGUUUCAUUCUUGAAAAAAUUUUAUUAAAGUAUGUACUGUUAGAGAGCAGAGACAUGAAUAAAGUGUGAUGGUGAAGUGAGAGAUAUUUUUCAUUGGUGAGAUCUUAUAAAAGUCUAGUAAAGAGACAUAAUCCAUUUUUGAGUUGAAUAUCUGAUUGCAACUUUAUACUUUCAAUUUAAAAAUGUGCUGGUUACAUAUGUGAACUGAAAAUAUAACCUCAAACACACUACAAUGAAUAAAUAAAUAAACCCUCUUCAGCAGUUUGGAAACCUAUUCUCAAAUUCCUUUAUCAAAGCAGAAAGCGGGACUGAGUAUUUUUUGCUGUUUAUAAGACUGUGUUCAGCCGAUGUAGCAAAA